RNAcentral lists this ribosomal RNA (1346 nucleotides) under uncultured bacterium. Its description in RNAcentral is "partial 16S ribosomal RNA". It matches the Rfam family "Bacterial small subunit ribosomal RNA", at positions 28 to 1381 of the family's 1533-position model. The record is from RNAcentral.
GACGAACGCUGGCGGCGUGCUUAACACAUGCAAGUCGAACGGAAAGGCCCUGCUUUUGUGGGGUGCUCGAGUGGCGAACGGAUGAGUAACACGUGAGUAACCUGCCCUUGACUUUGGGAUAACUUCAGGAAACUGGGGCUAAUACCGGAUAGGAGCUCCUGCUGCAUGGUGGGGGUUGGAAAGUUUCGGCGGUUGGGGAUGGACUCGCGGCUUAUCAGCUUGUUGGUGGGGUAGUGGCUUACCAAGGCUUUGACGGGUAGCCGGCCUGAGAGGGUGACCGGCCACAUUGGGACUGAGAUACGGCCCAGACUCCUACGGGAGGCAGCAGUGGGGAAUAUUGCACAAUGGGCGGAAGCCUGAUGCAGCAACGCCGCGUGCGGGAUGACGGCCUUCGGGUUGUAAACCGCUUUCGCCUGUGACGAAGCGUGAGUGACGGUAAUGGGUAAAGAAGCACCGGCUAACUACGUGCCAGCAGCCGCGGUGAUACGUAGGGUGCGAGCGUUGUCCGGAUUUAUUGGGCGUAAAGGGCUCGUAGGUGGUUGAUCGCGUCGGAAGUGUAAUCUUGGGGCUUAACCCUGAGCGUGCUUUCGAUACGGGUUGACUUGAGGAAGGUUGGGGAGAAUGGAAUUCCUGGUGGAGCGGUGGAAUGCGCAGAUAUCAGGAGGAACACCAGUGGCGAAGGCGGUUCUCUGGGCCUUUCCUGACGCUGAGGAGCGAAAGCGUGGGGAGCGAACAGGCUUAGAUACCCUGGUAGUCCACGCUGUAAACGGUGGGUACUAGGUGUGGGGUCCAUUCCACGGGUUCCGUGCCGUAGCUAGCGCUUUAGGUACCCCGCCUGGGGAGUACGGCCGCAAGGCUAAAACUCAAAGGAAUUGACGGGGCCCCGCACAAGCGGCGGAGCAUGCGGAUUAAUUCGAUGCAACGCGUAGAACCUUACCUGGGUUUGACAUGGAUCGGGAGUGCUCAGAGAUGGGUGUGCCUCUUUUGGGGUCGGUUCACAGGUGGUGCAUGCCUGUCGUCAGCUCGUGUCGUGAGAUGUUGGGUUAAGUCCCGCAACGAGCGCAACCCUUGUUCACUGUUGCCAGCACGUUAUGGUGGGGACUCAGUGGAGACCGCCGGGGUCAACUCGGAGGAAGGUGGGGAUGACGUCAAGUCAUCAUGCCCCUUAUGUCCAGGGCUUCACGCAUGCUACAAUGGCUGGUACAGAGAGUGGCGAGCCUGUGAGGGUGAGCGAAUCUCGGAAAGCCGGUCUCAGUUCGGAUUGGGGUCUGCAACUCGACCUCAUGAAGUCGGAGUCGCUAGUAAUCGCAGAUCAGCAACGCUGCGGUGAAUACGUUCCCGGGGCU